Molecule: ribosomal RNA, 305 nt
Filed under: uncultured bacterium
Lineage: Bacteria
Description: bacterial SSU rRNA
Rfam family: Bacterial small subunit ribosomal RNA
Source: RNAcentral
CCUGGCCUACGGGAGGCAGCAGUAGGGAAUCUUCCACAAUGGGCGAAAGCCUGAUGGAGCAACGCCGCGUGGGUGAAGAAGGUUUUCGGAUCGUAAAGCCCUGUUGUUAGAGAAGAAAGUGCGUGAGAGUAACUGUUCACGUUUCGACGGUAUCUAACCGGAAAGCCACGGCUAACUACGUGCCAGCAGCCGCGGUAAUACGUAGGUGGCAAGCGUUAUCCGGAUUUAUUGGGCGUGAAGGGAACGCAGGCGGUCUUUUAAGUCUGAUGUGAAAGCCUUCGGCUUAACCGGAGUAGUGCAUUGGA